CGUGUAUUCUUUGAAUUACGGCCAAGUCAACUACUCUUAACUCAUUUGCUUCCUCUUGCUUUCUCAACCUAUUUGCUUCCUCUUCUCUCUCUUCUUUUUCCUCAUUUAAUUCAUCAAGCUUUGCUUUGCUCCUUUUCAGAAACACUUUUUUUCCAACUUGAAGAGAGGUGGGUUGUGAUGCUUCGGUCCUCUUGAUUGACAGAAAUGGUGAUAAAAACUUCCAUCGAGAGGCAGGUCAUACCCAAUCAGACCUUGAGGGGUUUUGAUAAAAUUGAAAAGGCUUGUCCAGGGGUAGUUUCAUGUGCUGAUAUUGUUUCUAUUGCCGCUAGAGAUGGCAUUAUGCUGCAUUCCUUGCCACGUUUGCAGCUUGAUCUUCUUCAAAUGAUCUUAUUUCUUUCUCUUUCUCUUCUCCCAAAUCAACAAAAAAGGAAAUCUACUGAAAGGUACCCAGGGGCAGUGACAACACUGGCCCAAGAUUCCACGACUGGAUGAUAACAUAAUACAGACACGUCACCUUUUUGCCCAUAGAGGUUUUGAUGAAAGAGAAAUAGUCAGUCUUCUAGCUACUUACUAGCUCUUUGCUUUUCUUUCUUUUUCCCCCUUGUCUUAUGGAGUUGAAAAGGUUUAAAAAGUUAUUUGGUUUGUAUUGGUUUCUUGAUCAUCUGAAGGUGAACACAACAUUGGGAAGAUUGAUUGUGAAUUCAUACAAAAACGCCUCUCUGACUUCAAGGAGACCAGGCAGCCUGACCCAACUAUAUCUCUUGAUUUCCUCACUGAGAUGAAAAUGAGUUGUCAAGACAGUAAUAGGAACCACCCAGCCUUCUUCUUUAUCCAUGGCAACAAUGGAAAUGACUGAGUCUGCAGUGGGGAUGUCAUAAUUUCAGGCAUUGUUAUCUUCGAUAUCAUCCAGGGCAGGUUUUGACACUCACUACCAUCAGAGCUUGUAAAAGGGGAGAGGACUUCUUUUUUGCCCAUCAGCAAUUGAUGGCUAAUGAGAAGGCCGUGAGACUGCUAAGGGCUUAUGCUUCAGAUGACAGAUCAACCUUUCGAAUGGACUUUGCUUGGGCAAGGAUGAAGAUGUCAGGGCUUAAUGUUCUUACUGGAUCUCAAGGUCAGGUCCGACGGAACUGCUCCUUGCUUUUGGUUAUGAGUGCUGCUGAUGCCGUCAAAAGUGUCAUUUCUAUUACCUCUGGUUGUCUGAGAGAGAGCUUGUUUGAUGCAAACUCAAAUUUCCAAAAAUUUUGAGAUGCACAACUGUUGGCAGAAAACCAAUUUUAGAGGGUGAGACUUAGUUUUGGAUAUGCGAAAUAUGCAAUUGAUUCCAUUUAUCAGUAUCUCACAGAAUAUUUUCCCUAUCGUAGGAACUGGUAUGACUGCAUAUCCUUGACUUUGAUAGCUAUUUACUGAAAUUAAGUUCCUUAUCUUUCCUAUGUGUCAUGAAGAUGGUUUGUUCCUGGAAACCUUUUCAGUUAGUAUCUUUGCUUAGAGAUUUUAUCAUUAUCUUGUGUUUUAAGUAGAGUUCUUAAAGUUAGUUUACUUCUUGUGCUUAUAGGCUUCCUCCUCUCUUGCCAAUUGCAUAAGGCCAUUCUUUAAAAACAAAACAGCAUUCAUUAUGUUAAACAUCAAGCACUGCCUCUAUCUUUCUCUAGAAAUUUCUAGAAUUUCUCAUGCAAUCUUUCUCUCCUGAAUUCUCUAAGAGCUUCCUUGCAUAAGUUAAUCUCAGCCACUAAUUUACAAGAUGUCUAGAAGAUUGGAGAAAGGCAUUAAUUUAAUGCCAAUAAAAAGGAAGAAGCUAGAAGCUUCAAUAGAUGUAAUGAUGGCCAAGAGAGAAGAGUGAAGUGAGGUGAUGUGAAGUGUUAGGUGAAGUAAAGUGUGUGAGGUGAAGUAGUGUGAAGUCAGGUGCAGUGUGAAGUGAAGUAAAAAGAGAGCUAUAGUGUCAGUAGGUGUGCAUGAGUAUUUGGUGAGUGAGUGUAUUUAAGGUUAGCGUGUGUGAAUGUAAAAGUGCUGUGUGUGCAUUGGUGUAAUAAUGGUGCUCGUAAAGUGUUGUAAUUUAAAGAGUCCAGUUUUAAUAAAAAAGCUCUUUGUUCAGUCUUUUGUUAAACUCAUUUUAGGUUCGCAGAGGCAAGAGUACUCAUCCAUAGUGCAAUGUGAUACUUAAAACGAGAUACUAUGUACAUUUUCCAACAUACCACAAAACUUGAGUCAGUUUACUUUACUUUGGAGAUAUAAUGCCAUUAACCAAUGAGUUAUGGAGAAAAAUGAAACCAUCACCAUAACUUUUGCAGAGAAUCAUGUUCAUGUUCUAAUGCAAAAAGUGGAACUUCUACAGUUAUGCCAUUUUAAUUUCAAUGAUAAUGAUUUUAUUCAUUUAUAAAAAUCUGCAUUGGAUCAUUGGUUAGGUUUGCUUGCCUACCAAUUGGUAUAUGAUCUUGUUAUUCAUGUUGAUAACUCUUUCUAUGAGCCCUAAAUGCCUCUUGAAUUUAUGAAAUCAAAAAUAUUAUGUUACAACAAAACCAUAAGAUGCUAAACAAAUAUGAAUUUUCAGACUCCCUCCAUCUUAUAGGCCCCAAAGACAGCACAAAGGAACUUUUGAAGAGUGGCUGAUUAUUAUGCAUCAUUUAAUAAUUGCAGUAUAUAGGGGUAGCAGCUAUUAUGCUUGAAUAAAAAAUAUCCAAUUGCUCUUAUAUAUAUUUUGGAAUCAUUAAACUUAGAACAAAAUGCUUUCCCAUUGAUAUAUAUUCGCAAUAUCUAUAAAAUAUUAGUCAGCCUCGCUUUUUCAGCUAAAUACCAAGAUCUCAUAGGCUAAUCAUUUUGGCUACAUAGAGAAAGUGCUUCCAAUAUUAAGAAGGAAUAUAAUUUUAAACAUGCUGUUACAAGACCAUGGAAAGGCAUGGAUAAUUCAAUAUGCAAACAAAGUGGAGCAUUAGCCCACAACCUUAACUUCCAUCCAAGUAUGAUGUGAAGAGGAAGUGCCAAUUGAGUUAUUUUCAACUAAGAACCUGAGAGUUUGUUUAGUUUGGUAGAUUUUAGGAGGGAUGAAAAGGGCCGGGUAGAGAAAAGUGGAGAGAAAAAAAGGUAUAUAAAAUUGGUGUUCAAACUUCAAAGUUCCUUCCUCUUCUUCUUCUUCUUUUUUGAGUGGAGUUCUUGAGGUUUCAUUCCAACUUUUGAGAUUGUUGUGGGCUGCAAAUUGAUUGGGUACUAUUUAAAAAUUUAAUUUAACGUUUUUCAGAUUUGUUAUAGAGAAAUGGAGAGAAGAUUGGGUGGUGGUGACGGCAGCGACUCUGGUGAGAUGUGUGUGGUGGGUUGCUGAAAGGUAUAAGUUACUAGAGCAAGUGUUCUGAAAUAGGAGUUGGUUUCUGUUUUUUAACAAAAGAAUGAGAUUGCGAAAGCUGUGGAAGAGGAACUUGAAAAGCCAUGUCAGCUUACGGAUUUGGGAUUGUUCAAACACUAAUUGUGGACACUGAACCUGAUGAAUAUGUGAAAAGGGCUAUGAGCGAGAUAAAUGCCGCUGAAUCUAAUUAUCUGGCUGGGCUUGUAGUUGGGCUGAGGGACAGUGUACUUGCUUUCUCUAUGAACGUACCUGGCACUAUGUCAAAGGAUUUCUUGUACAUGGUUCUGGUGACUCAAUAUUUCGUCACAAUGAAAGAAAUUGGCGCAUUGUCAGAGUCCAACCCUGUUUUCAUCACACAUGGACCAGGUACUGUGAAAGACAUUGCUUCACAAAUUACAGAUGGCCUCCUUCAAGUAAAUACCACUCAGAAUUAGUAACUUUAUCCCAGCAUAAUGUUGCACGAGUGGCUUUUCUAAUGGUAUAUGAAAUGAUUGGUGCUAGUAUCUUAGAUUGGUGUGGUGUGUAUACAUGGUGUUGAACUUGGCCAUAGUAUUGGAAAUAUUCUUUUAUAGUAUGAGACGUAUUUUUGGGGGGCAUCCUCAGUCUGGUGUGAUAUGCUACUUUGUA
This is a long non-coding RNA of Quercus robur (English oak), 3958 nucleotides long. RefSeq lists it as uncharacterized. The transcript is spliced from 7 exons. Lineage: Eukaryota; Viridiplantae; Streptophyta; Magnoliopsida; Fagales; Fagaceae. The record is from RefSeq and is a predicted model, not a curated record.